Molecule: ribosomal RNA, 442 nt
Filed under: uncultured bacterium
Lineage: Bacteria
Description: partial 16S ribosomal RNA
Rfam family: Bacterial small subunit ribosomal RNA
Source: RNAcentral
CCUACGGGUGGCAGCAGUGGGGAAUAUUGCGCAAUGGGCGAAAGCCUGACGCAGCGACGCCGCGUGAGGGAUGAAGGUCUUCGGGUUGUAAACUGCUUUUAUAAGCGAGAAAUAUGAUGGUAACUUAUGAAUAAGGAUCGGCUAACUACGUGCCAGCAGCCGCGGUCAUACGUAGGAUCCGAGCAUUAUCCGGAGUGACUGGGUGUAAAGAGUUGCGUAGGUGGCAUAAUAAGUAGCUAGUGAAAUCUGGUGGCUCAACCAUUCAGACUAUUAGCUAAACUGUUAAGCUCGAGACCGUUAGGGGUAACUGGAAUUUCUAGUGUAGGAGUGAAAUCCGUAGAUAUUAGAAAGAACACCGAUAGCGUAGGCAGGUUACUGGGACGGUUCUGACACUAAGGCACGAAAGCGUAGGGAGCAAACGGGAUUAGAUACCCGUGUAGUC